GUGGGCCAUUGAGCUAAGCGGGCCUGGAGGAGGCAGCAGGGGUCGAAGUGACCGGGGCAGUGGCCAGGGAGACUCGCUCUACCCAGUCGGUUACUUGGACAAGCAAGUGCCUGAUACCAGCGUGCAAGAGACAGACCGGAUCCUGGUGGAGAAGCGCUGCUGGGACAUCGCCUUGGGUCCCCUCAAACAGAUUCCCAUGAAUCUCUUCAUCAUGUACAUGGCAGGCAAUACUAUCUCCAUCUUCCCUACUAUGAUGGUGUGUAUGAUGGCCUGGCGACCCAUUCAGGCACUUAUGGCCAUUUCAGCCAGUAAGUAUUCUUGAAACAAUAACCCUUCCAUAAGUUUGAAGAAUUAAAGGCAGGCCGGGCAUGGUGGCUCACGCCUGUAAUCCCAGCACUUUGGGAGGCGCCAAGGCGGGUGGAUCAUCUGAGGGCAGGAGUUCGAGACCAGCCUGGCCAACAUGGUGAAACCUUGUCUCUACUAAAAAUGCAAAAAUUAGCUGGGCGUGGUGGCACACGCCUGUAAUCCCAGCUGCUUGGGAGGCUGAGACAGGAGAAUCACUUGAACCUGGGAGGCAGAGGUUGCAGUGAGCCGAGAUCGUGCCACUGCACUCCAGCCUGGGUGACAGAACGAGACUCCAUCUCAAAAAAAA
RNAcentral lists this small RNA (652 nucleotides) under Pan troglodytes (chimpanzee). RNAcentral's name for it is "retained intron". Lineage: Eukaryota; Metazoa; Chordata; Mammalia; Primates; Hominidae. The record is from RNAcentral.